RNAcentral lists this ribosomal RNA (459 nucleotides) under uncultured bacterium. RNAcentral describes it as "partial 16S ribosomal RNA". It matches the Rfam family "Bacterial small subunit ribosomal RNA", at positions 338 to 795 of the family's 1533-position model. The record is from RNAcentral.
CCUACGGGUGGCAGCAGUGAAGAAUAUUGGUCAAUGGCCGCAGGGCUGAACCAGCCAAGUCGCGUGAGGAAUGACGGUCCUAUGGAUUGUAAACCUCUUUUGUCAGGGAGCAAAGGGCGCCACGUGUGGCGCUUUGCGAGUACCUGAAGAAAAAGCAUCGGCUAACUCCGUGCCAGCAGCCGCGGUAAUACGGAGGAUGCGAGCGUUAUCCGGAUUUAUUGGGUUUAAAGGGUGCGCAGGCGGAAUGUCAAGUCAGCGGUAAAAUUUCGGGGCUCAACCCUGUCGUGCCGUUGAAACUGGCGUUCUUGAGUGAGCGAGAAGUAUGCGGAAUGCGUGGUGUAGCGGUGAAAUGCAUAGAUAUCACGCAGAACUCCGAUUGCGAAGGCAGCAUACCGGCGCUCAACUGACGCUCAUGCACGAAAGCGUGGGUAUCGAACAGGAUUAGAUACCCUGGUAGUC